This 955-nucleotide long non-coding RNA is filed under the name Aquilegia coerulea. Its description in RNAcentral is "long non-coding RNA (ACOE_LNC001095)". Lineage: Eukaryota; Viridiplantae; Streptophyta; Magnoliopsida; Ranunculales; Ranunculaceae. The record is from RNAcentral.
AGUAAACAAGUUCAAUUGUGUGAGAUUGCAUAAUGGUUGUGCAAAGAUGGAAGCUAGUCAGUCAGACAUCAAAGCAUUAUUAUUGCAUUUAAAAGGUUACAUAUGUAGUGUCAUAAAAAAUAAAAAUAUAGGUUACAUAUCGUAUAUUGAACCUUAUUCUUGUAUUUUUUUUUCAUGCAUUUACCAACUCGUUUGAGUCCUAAAAUUGAUCAGCGGAGUGAAAACUGGUAAAUACGGGAACUUAUGCAGUUAUGCUACAAUACAUGUUCGUUCUUCUUCUGUCCAUUGAUCCUCAAAUCUUCACAUCUUUCUGGAAUGCCUGAAAUAAGAUGAAACAUCAUAACUGAACUGUGCUUCCCAAUCAUAAAUUUCUAAUGCAUGCCUAACUGAAAAUAUAAUGGUAUGAUAUAAUUUUAGUAAUACAGUAAAUCUCAAAUGGGUUUUUUUUUGCGUUUCAUUUAAUAGUCAUUAAAAAUGGGUUAUGAUUGAUGAAAGAGAAAAACAAGAGAAUCAUGCGAAAGAACUGCUGUACCUUAUAUCUCUGAUGAUUCUUGUUUGAACCUUUGGCCUUCUCUGCACCACUUCUUGACAUUGAACUCUAUCUCGCCUUUGUCGAGUUGGCUUUGCCAAUGCUGAUUUCUUUAUCUCUUCAUUGUUUAUAACACUAUUUUCCUCAUGGGAUGAAUCCAUAAUUUCUUCAUAUGACGCUGAUGCAGCCCAAAGUAGCAUAAGGAGAUUCAAUUGUAGAAGAAAAGGUGACGAUGAAGAUGAAUGAUCAACAUCUUCCUCCUCUUCCUCUACAUCUACAUCAAGUUGAUGUGUUGUUUCUUCUAUAAUCUCGUCAGACAUUUAGCUUAGAUUCUUCCUCACAAAUCCGAAAGUAAUACAGGAGUGUUAUAUUUAUAUAAAAGAUGUAGAAAAGAAGAAAAUGGUAGAAACUUCAAAGAAACUCACA